This 459-nucleotide ribosomal RNA is filed under the name uncultured bacterium. RNAcentral's name for it is "partial 16S ribosomal RNA". It matches the Rfam family "Bacterial small subunit ribosomal RNA", at positions 338 to 794 of the family's 1533-position model. The record is from RNAcentral.
CCUACGGGAGGCAGCAGUGAGGAAUAUUGGUCAAUGGGCGCUAGCCUGAACCAGCCAAGUAGCGUGAAGGAUGACUGCCCUAUGGGUUGUAAACUUCUUUUAUAUGGGAAUAAAGUGCAGUAUGUAUACUGCUUUGCAUGUACCUUAUGAAUAAGGAUCGGCUAACUCCGUGCCAGCAGCCGCGGUAAUACGGGGGAUCCGAGCGUUAUCCGGAUUUAUUGGGUUUAAAGGGAGCGUAGGCGGGUUGUUAAGUCAGUUGUGAAAGUUUGCGGCUAAACCGUAAAAUUGCAGUUGAUACUGGCAGCCUUGAGUACAGUAGAGGUAGGAGGAAUUCGUGGUGUAGCGGUGAAAUGCUUAGAUAUCACGAAGAACUCCGAUUGCGAAGGCAGCCUGCUGGACUGUAACUGACGCUGAUGCUCGAAAGUGUGGGUAUCAAACAGGAUUAGAUACCCUGGUAGC